GAUGAAGAACGUAGCGAAAUGCGAUAAGUAAUGUGAAUUGCAGAAUUCAGUGAAUCAUCGAGUCUUUGAACGCACAUUGCGCCCCCUGGUAUUCCGGGGGGCAUGCCUGUCCGAGCGUCAUUGCUGCCCUCAAGCACGGCUUGUGUGUUGGGCCGCCGUCCCCGGUUUCCCCCGGGGACGGGCCCGAAAGGCAGCGGCGGCACCGCGUCCGAUCCUCGAGCGUAUGGGGCUUUGUCACCCGCUCUGUAGUCCCGGCCGGCGCCAGCCGACACCCAACUUUAUUUCUAAGGUUGACCUCGGAUCAGGUAGGGAUACCCGCUGAACUUAAGCAUAUCAAUAAGCGGAGGA
This 348-nucleotide unclassified non-coding RNA is filed under the name soil metagenome. RNAcentral describes it as "partial contains 5.8S ribosomal RNA, internal transcribed spacer 2, and large subunit ribosomal RNA". The stretch from base 1 to 120 matches the Rfam family "5.8S ribosomal RNA", at positions 35 to 154 of the family's 154-position model. The record is from RNAcentral.